AGCAUAAUCAUUAGUUUUUUAAUUGAUAACUUGUAUGAAUGGUUUGACGAAAUAUUGACUGUCUCUUAUUUAUUAUUAGAAAUUAAAUUUUGAGUUAAAAUGCUUAAAUUUUAUUAUUGGACGAGAAGACCCUAUAGAUCUUUAUUUUUAUUUAAUUUUUUUUGUUUGGUUUAUUUUUUUUCAAUUUUGUUUAAAUUUUGUUGGGGUGACAUGAAGAUAUAUUUAACUCUUUAUUUUUUUUUUUCAUUUAUUUAUGAAUUAUUGACCUUAUUUUAAUGUUAAAAGAUUUAGAUACCUUAGGGAUAACAGCGUAAUUUUUUUUGAGAGUUCAUAUUGACAAUAAAGGUUGCGACCUCGAUGUUGGAUUAAGAUAAGUUUUAGGUGCAGUAGCUUAUAACUGUUAGGUCUGUUC
This 412-nucleotide ribosomal RNA is filed under the name Carausius sechellensis. Its description in RNAcentral is "partial 16S ribosomal RNA". Lineage: Eukaryota; Metazoa; Arthropoda; Insecta; Phasmatodea; Lonchodidae. The record is from RNAcentral.